RNAcentral lists this ribosomal RNA (253 nucleotides) under uncultured bacterium. RNAcentral's name for it is "partial 16S ribosomal RNA". It matches the Rfam family "Bacterial small subunit ribosomal RNA", at positions 524 to 776 of the family's 1533-position model. The record is from RNAcentral.
UACGUAGGUGGCAAGCGUUGUCCGGAAUUAUUGGGCGUAAAGCGCGCGCAGGCGGUCCUUUAAGUCUGAUGUGAAAUCCCACGGCUCAACCGUGGAAGGUCAUUGGAAACUGGGGGACUUGAGUACAGAAGAGGAAAGUGGAAUUCCAAGUGUAGCGGUGAAAUGCGUAGAGAUUUGGAGGAACACCAGUGGCGAAGGCGACUUUCUGGUCUGUAACUGACGCUGAGGCGCGAAAGCGUGGGGAGCAAACAGG